Molecule: unclassified non-coding RNA, 141 nt
Filed under: uncultured fungus
Lineage: Eukaryota; Fungi
Description: sequence contains ITS1
Source: RNAcentral
CCGAGUUUUUUUACUCAAAACCCUGCGAACCUACCUUUAGUUGCUUCGGUGGCCGGCCCCGGGGGGCGGUUACCACGGUCGCCGACAGCACCCAAAACCUACUGUCAGUGUAUUCUGAGUAAACAAAAAAAACAAAAUCAA